Molecule: long non-coding RNA, 4458 nt
Organism: Alligator mississippiensis (American alligator)
Lineage: Eukaryota; Metazoa; Chordata; Crocodylia; Alligatoridae
Exons: 2
Source: RefSeq, a predicted model, not a curated record
CUUGACUAAGAAGAGAGAGAAAGAGAAGAGAAAAAGAUGCUGAUGCUAUGUGUUUUAAAAUGUUCUAAGAUAAGGAAAAACCUUCAUGCCUUGUUUUGUCUGUGUGCAGAUGUUAACCUCCUCCUUUCUGCUGAACCAGAAGCUGAUAACUGUUCCCAAAACAUAGUGUUUUUUUCUAAAUAAGUAAACUGCUUACAUGUGACAAAUGAAUGAUCAACAUCUUUCUGUUUCUCUCAAGGUUGCUUUGUCUGAACCCUGCAUCUUUUCUCACUGUCUAAAGUAUAAAUACACUUGUAAAUUUGUAGAAGUCAGAGUUCCUUUGAGAACUCUCCCUGUGAUCACUUAUAUAGCUUUAAAUACGCCUAGCUGGCUCUGCCAAUUCUAAUACAACCACAACACGAAGUUUGAUUUCUUCCACUAUUUGGUGCCGUGACUCGGAUAGAGACGCCCGGAGCGAUCGGUUGAGAUACAGACCAUCUCCUCACUGAUGCCCCAGCUAGCCAAACUAAGGCUUUCAUUCACAGGUACAAGCAACUCUCCCCAAGGAACCAAAUUGCCAUUCCAUCCUGCCUGGUGACUGGGUUCAUGUAAAAGUCCAUCAACGGAAGUCAUCACUGGAACCCCGCUGGAAAGGCCCAUUCCAGGUACCCCUGACAACCAACACUGCAAUAAAGUGUCAAGGACUCCAACCGUGGAUCCAUGCUUCACACACUAAGAAAACAUCAGCCCCGUUAGACUUAGAGUCUCCUCCAUAUCAACCUUGUAAUCAGCCUCCACAAACUGGCAGUGAGCCUAGCACCUGCCAACAAGAGAGCUCAAGACCAGUAGUGAGCCAAGCGUCUACUGGCGAAGAGGAUUUGCCACUACAGAGCGAAGAGGAUUUGCCACUACAGAGUGAGGAAAAUGUACCCCAACAACACCACUAUGCCCUUUGGGAAAGGAAAAAGGCCUCUACCUAGUUCCUGGUUCCCGAGGUGGGGUUGGUUAGUCGUGACUUGGGUACUUCUCAGUCUUUCCUUUUGGAUCAUCUUAUAUGAACUUAAAGACUCAGCAGCUAAAAUAAACUUUGUAAAUCAGACAAGACUUCAAAACAGGUAAAAAAGAUCACUCCCACACUGGCAUGCUCACCAGAAUCCUUUUCUUCAACUGUCUUAUCAAUAUGCAAAGGAUUUAAAUAUUUCUAAAUGUUGGGUAUGUUCCCACUUGCCUCUUAGUACAAUGACAGGGGUGCCCAUGAUUGCUUUGUCCCUUAAUUGGACGACUUUUGUGAUAUGUAUGUUAAAAUAGUGAAAAGGUAAAAAGAAAGAAAAAUUAGAAGUUAAAAGGCUCAUGGCUAUAAAUAUCUAAUAUGUUGGGCCAAAAAGGCCCAAAAGGGGGGAAUGUGGAAAUAAGUUUAACCAGGCCUCUUACUUAUAGAUUCAUAGAUGUUAGGGUCGGAAGGGACCUCAAUAGAUCAUCGUGUCUGACCCCCUGCAUAAGCAGGAAAGAGUGCUGGGUCUAGAUGACCCCAGCUAGAUGCUCAUCUAACCUCCUCUUGAAGACCCCCAGGGUAGGGGAGAGCACCACCUCCCUUGGGAGCCCGUUCCAGACCUUGGCCACUCGAACUGUGAAGAAGUUCUUCCUAAUGUCCAAUCUAAAUCUGCUCUCUGCUAGCUUGUGGCCAUUGUUUCUUGUAACCCCCGGGGGCGCCUUGGUGAAUAAAUACUCACCAAUUCCCUUCUGUGCCCCCGUGAUGAACUUAAAGGCAGCCACAAGGUCGCCUCUCAACCUUCUCUUGUGGAGGCUGAAAAGAUCCAGUUUCUCUAGUAUCUCCUCGUAGGGCUUGAUCUGCAGGCCCUUGACCAUACGAGUUGCCCUUCUCUGGACCCUCUCCAGGUUAUCCGCAUCCUUCUUGAAGUGUGGUGCCCAGAAUUGCACGCAGUACUCCAACUGCGGUCUGACCAGCGCCCGAUAGAGGGGAAGUAUCACCUCCUUGGACCUAUUCGUCAUGCAUCUGCUGAUGCACGAUAAAGUGCCAUUGGCUUUUCUGAUGGCUUCGUCACACUGCCGGCUCACGUUCAUCUUGGAGUCCACUAGGACUCCAAGAUCCCUUUCCACCUCUGUGCCACCCAGCAGGUCAUUCCCUAGGCUGUAGGUGUGCUGGACAUUUUUCCUCCCUAGGUGCAGCACUUUGCAUUUCUCCUUGUUGAACUGCAUCCUGUUGUUUUCUGCCCACUUGUCCAACCUAUCCAGGUCUGCCUGCAGCUGUUCCCUGCCCUCCGGCGUGUCCACUUCUCCCCAUAGCUUUGUGUCAUCUGCAAACUUGGACAGAGUACAUUUCACUCCCUUGUCCAAAUCACUGAUGAAGACAUUAAAGAGUAUCGGUCCAAGGACCGAGCCCUGCGGGACCCCACUGCCCACACCCUUCCAGGUCGAGACCGACCCACCCACCACGACUCUCUGGGUGCGGCCCUCUAGCCAAUUCGCCACCCACCGGACUGUGUAGACAUCCACGUCACAGCCUCUUAACUUGUUCACCAGUAUGGGGUGGGAUACCUUAUCGAAGGCCUUCCUGAAGUCUAAGUAUACGACAUCCACCCCUCCUCCUGUGUCCAGGCGUUUCGUAACCUGGUCAUAGAAAGAGACUAGAUUGGUCAGGCACGAUCUGCCCGCCACAAACCCGUGCUGGUUUCCCCUCAGCAUAAUUUGCCCUGCUGGGCUCUCACAAAUGUGAGCCUUGAUAAUUUUUUCAAAGACUUUACCAAGGAUGGAGGUGAGACUGACUGGCCUAUAGUUGCCUGGGUCCUCCUUCCUCCCCUUUUUGAAAAUGGGGACCACGUUAGCCCUUUUCCAGUCCUCCGGGACUUGGCCCGUGCGCCACGAGCGUUCGAAUAUUCCCGCCAGUGGCUCUGCAAUGAUGUCGGCCAGUGCCUUCAGCACCCUCGGAUGGAGCUCAUCUGGGCCUGCCAACUUAAAGGCAUCCAGUUCUUCCAAGUGACUCUGCACCAUCUCAGGAUCUACAUAUGGAAGUCUGGCGCCUUGCUGCUGCCUCUCUACAACCCCAGUGAGAGACUUGUCGUGUCCCUCACUUAGGAACACUGAAGCAAAGAACUCGUUGAGGAGUUCAGCCUUGUCCCCCCUGUCUGUCACCAAUUGUUUCUGCCCAUUUAUCAGGGGUCCUAUUCCUCCCUGGGCCUUCCUUUUACUCCCAAUAUAUCUAAAAAACAAUUUCUUGUUGUCUUUUACUUGGGUUGCCAUCCUCAGCUCCAUGGUAGCUUUGGCCCGUCUAACUGCCUCCCUACAAGCACGAGCAGAGGAGGUAUAUUCAUCUUUAGUGAUCUCACCUUGCUUCCACUUUUUAUGUGCUCCCCUUUUGGCCCUUAGGCUGCCCUGGAUUUCUCUGGUCAGCCAUGGAAGCCUCCUGGCCCCUUUCCCUCUUUUGUCUCACUCAGGGAUCGUCUUGCUUUGUGCCCGAAGGAUCGUUUCCUUAAGGCACAGCCACCCUUCUUGGGCUCCCAUCCCUUCAAAACUCCUACUCUGCAGUGCGUCCUUGACUAAUCGCCUGAGUUCAUUGAGAUCAGCUUUCCUAAAGUCUAGCACUUUCACCCUACUAUUUACCUUACCCACUCGACGUCUUAUGUUGAAUUCUAUUAUUAGGUGAUCACUGUCUCCCAAAUGGCUACCGAUCUGGAGGUCCCCUACCAUAUCAUCCCCUGUUGCCAAUACCAGAUCCAGUAUAGCAUUCCCCAUAGUGGGACCAUGUACCUCCUGUGUCAGAUGGAGGUCCUGUACACAGGUUAGAAACCUGCGUGAGCAGUGGGACUUUGCUGUCUGAGUCUCCCAGCAGAUGUCCAGGUAGUUUAGGUCCCCCAUGACUACCGCCUCUUUAGCUUUUAUGGUCUCCGAGAGUUGCCUCAGGAGACCCGCAUCUAUUUCUUCUCCUUGGUGUGGGGGUCUGUAGCAGACCCCUACCACCAAAGCCCUUUCUCCUUGCCCCCCAUGUAGCCUAACCCACAAUCCUUCUACUUCCUCAACCUCGGAUUCUGUCUUGAUGAGGGUUGAUGUAUAUUGCUCACUGACAUAAAGUGCAACCCCCACCCCCCCCUUUCUUCCCCAACCUGUCCUUUCUGUACAAUCUAUAGCCCUCAAUAUGUACCGCCCAGUCAUGGGAUGAAUCCCACCAGGUUUCUGUUAGCCCCACUAAGUCAUAGGUGUUUAGUGCAAGCAGGAGCGCUAGUUCAUCCUGCUUGUUCCCCAUUUACUUACUUACUUGACUAAGAAGAGAGAGAAAGAGAAGAGAAAAAGAUGCUGAUGCUAUGUGUUUUAUAAUGUUCUAAGAUAAGGAAAAACCUUCAUGCCUUGUUUUGUCUGUGUGCAGAUGUUAACCUCCUCCUUUCCGCCGAACCAGAAGCUGAUAACUGUUCCCAAAACAUAGUGUUUUUUUCUAAAUAAGUAAACUGCUUGCAUGUGACAAACAAA